This 253-nucleotide ribosomal RNA is filed under the name uncultured bacterium. RNAcentral's name for it is "partial 16S ribosomal RNA". It matches the Rfam family "Bacterial small subunit ribosomal RNA", at positions 524 to 776 of the family's 1533-position model. The record is from RNAcentral.
UACAGAGGUGGCAAGCGUUGUUCGGAAUUACUGGGCGUAAAGGGCGCGUAGGCGGUCUUGUAAGUCUCGUGUGAAAUCCCUCGGCUUAACUGGGGAACUGCACGGGAUACUGCAUGACUUGAGAUCGGGAGAGGGAAGCGGAAUUCCGGGUGUAGCGGUGAAAUGCGUAGAUAUCCGGAGGAACACCGGUGGCGAAGGCGGCUUCCUGGACCGACACUGACGCUGAGGCGCGAAAGCUAGGGGAGCAAACGGG